AAAUUAUAGAGGCUCGAAAAAAGGAAUGGAAUUUUCAAAAUAAAUUGGUGGUAGAGUGGAAAAUCCUACAAUUAAAACUGCCGUCAAUAUUUAGCCAUAUUCUAUAUUGUCAAAGAAGAACUUCCUCCACACUGGGAUUGAGAUUUGUUUUUUGGAGUUGACAAACAUUGUAUUGCGACAGAUAGUGACGCACAUUAUGAUGACAAUGUACCAUACCUACUUUGCUGAGUUUUUCUGCACAUACCUGCAAGUACUGAGGAAUAAAGCGAAGUGCGCACUGUCUUCACUCGACUUCAGAACGACAAACACUAGUAAUCUUUGGCCGAUUGAGGUUGAUACAAAUUAAUUGUGGUUUGCUGCAAUUAUCUGGAAUCUGGAUCGAUGAUGUGCUGUCUUCAAUUCUUCUUUUCUUAAAAUUUUUAUUUUGAGUUGUUAACCGGUUGAAGGAUAUUAGAGAAGUGACUAUAAUUUUACAUACACUACUUUCAUCCUUCUUAAUUACACAAUUAUCAUUUUAAACGAUUUAGCUUAGUUUUCAUUAGCUGUGUUAAGAUCUUCUAUAUCAAAAUUCGUCUGCACCAUCGCUGGAGAUCAUUAGCUUACCAUCACAUCAGAUGCUCCCAUGUUUAAUGUUUUCUUCAAUAUGUAUUCUUUCUGUUACCCCGCUGUUAUAAUUUGUAUAUAUAUAUAUAUAUAUCAGUAGUUAAUAUAUUUGUUCCUUCUGCGGUAGACACUGUAUUUUGGGUUAGGUUUUUGGAGUUGUUUGUCUUUGAUGUGCUCUUCCUUUAUGUUUUAGUAUUCCACUUAAAAUAAAAUACUUUGACAACAUUCAAAUUUUUCCCUGAGUAUUCUCAAAGCGUGUAUUACAAUUUUUCUAGAAACCAUAUCAACCAUAAGCAACCAUAUCUUUUAUGUCUAUAAGACUUUAAGAUAGUGGAAUGAAUAUUGCUACUAUAUAUCAAAAAUUCCUCAUUGUUUUUAUCUCAUAAUAGGUGACCCUAUGCACUUCGUUUCCCUCAAAAAAUGACAACCCUUAAAAAAAUUGUGAUUGUUUAAAUCCUUUUGGGUGUAACUCGCAGCAGUAUGUGUAAUUCAGCCACCUUGGUAGGCAAUCGGAUCGCGGACAUUGUCCAACAGCAUAUCAAGUAGAUAUGUAUAUCUAAUGUUUAAAAUGUCGGACCACAGUGUUUGUUAUUGAAAUCCUCAGCGACGGCUUGACCGAAACGAAAUUAUGUUUUAAUUAUUAAUAGAUGUAUAAAUCUCUAAUGAAAUGGAUCAAGUAUGAUAGAGAAAACAGGAAUAAACAUUUAUCAGACUUAAUGGAAUACUUUCGGUUACCAAUUGUUUCCCAUAUAUUUUUUGAGUGAACUGUUGAUAAAGAACCAGUUUUGAAGUUAAAUAACAAUUGUAACCAUAUAAUAUUUUUACAUUUGAUUUUCUUCUUUUUCCAAAAUAUAUUAUGUUAUUAGGUAGAAAAUAUUUAGAUGAAGUUAUACUGUUCAUACGGACCUUGUUACUAAGUUAGAAGCACCAAAUUUUACUUAUUGCAGUAUGUUUUAAUUAUAAGUAAAAAAGCCAAACACCAUCUUCCAACCUAAUCUUAAUUAUUAAUAAAAUUUAACUUCUUAGACCCUGGCUGUUGAACUAGGCAAUUAAUAAUACCCUCUAUGUGCUUUCCAAAUUCCAUUAUAGUAAUAACGCUCAAAACAUUUUGAUGGUUAAAUUAAUGGGUCUUGUAAAUAGAUUUAAUAUUGAUUUGU
RNAcentral lists this long non-coding RNA (1760 nucleotides) under Acyrthosiphon pisum (pea aphid). Its description in RNAcentral is "uncharacterized LOC115033026". Lineage: Eukaryota; Metazoa; Arthropoda; Insecta; Hemiptera; Aphididae. The record is from RNAcentral.